RNAcentral lists this ribosomal RNA (253 nucleotides) under uncultured bacterium. RNAcentral's name for it is "partial 16S ribosomal RNA". It matches the Rfam family "Bacterial small subunit ribosomal RNA", at positions 524 to 776 of the family's 1533-position model. The record is from RNAcentral.
GACGAAGGAUGCAAGCGUUAUCCGGAUUCAUUGGGUUUAAAGGGAGCGUAGGCGGCCUUAUAAGUCAGUGGUGAAAUCUUUGGGCUUAACCCAAAAAUUGCCAUUGAUACUGUAGGGCUUGAGUACAGUUGCUGUGGGCGGAAUAUGACAUGUAGUGGUGAAAUACAUAGAGAUGUCAUAGAACACCGAUUGCGAAGGCAGCUCACAAAACUGUAACUGACGCUGAGGCUCGAAAGUGCGGGGAUCAGACAGG